GCUGCUUGUUUUGGGAACCAAACAGGAACGAUGUGUAACGGGAAGACUGAAGACAGACCCAGGUGUGUGUGCGCACUGGCGUGUGUGCCGGGGCGACGGCCCAGCCGCUGAGGAAUAAGGAAAGAAAAGACGUGAGGCCCUCCGGCCUCUGCUCCGUCCUGGCCACACUCACCCCCUCACCCCAGGAACGGCACAGACAAGGAGACACGCACACACUUGCUCCGAGAGCUCCCUGGGGCCAGCCUCCCUGGAGGGGCAGACUCCGCCCCGUCCCCCUGCACCAGAGCUCACGGGGACCACUCGGGAAGCCCUGUGUCCUGGCCACAGUGUCACGGACAGUCUGAGAGCAGUCACCACCCGCCCCUGCCCCGCCCCAGGGGGACAGCUCCAAACCAGCUGAGUCCACCUACGAUGCAGCUUGAAACCGGAACAACGCUAAGGUCUUCGGCAAGCUCUUAGGCGGCAGGAACCGUCCUCGCGUCGAUCCAGCUGUACACCUGCCUCUUCCGGCUGUGGCCGUGCCGGCCGCGCCGGUGAGCCUGCAGGGACUGAGGACACGGGGACUCGGCCGCCAGUGCUCGCCUGUCUGCUUUGCCAGGGGCUUCCUGUCGGGCGGGGCCCCCCGAGCGGCUCCUAAACCCUACAGGCUCCCGCCAGAUCGCAACACCACUUUCAAAACAUUUUAAGAAACUCCACGGAUGGUUUUUAUUCUGACACUGCAGCCUUAAAGGAAGACUUCUCUGGGAUAUCACUGCUGUUCAUGACAGGUUAAGAAACAAAGAAAUGGUUUCAGUAUAACACUACCUACCCUGGACAUGCUUGGCUGCUCAGAAGAGGAGGUUUGGGGUAAUAAAGGGCUUGCAGGGGUGGAGAGCCAAGGGCCUGGGUGAGAAGUGCACCCAAGGAGAUAUUCCCGUGAGAGAGGACACCCUCCAUCUCCAGCCAAGGAACGUGCUGCCCCUGCGGUUCUGCUGUUUCUGUUCUGCUGGGUAAGUGGACGUGAGUUAAAAACCCCAGCUCAGUCACCUCCGAGGUGAGCCCGCUCCCUUCCUCAGAAACACGCUGGCCUGCGUGGCGUCCCGACUCCCACCACGACUUCCUCCAGACCCCUGGCUGGUGCGGCCCCCACCAAGGCACCCUGGCUGCUGCAGUCACAGCCCCUCCUCCCCAGGACAGAGAGGUCGGACGCCUGCCGAGGCUCCAUCACUGUCCGCAGCCACGGACGCGGUGCACAGGGCUGGGUGUCCUGGACACCCUGGCCCCUCAUGGGUGAAAGGAGAGGGAGGAGAACAUGCCAACCCUUCCCGCGCGGCCAGGGGCAGCUCCUUCAUCACCACUGGGUUCUGCGAAAACAAACACUAUCCCUGCGCCUUUCACGACCCGGGUCUCUGGGAAUGGGCGAACACAGCCCGCGCCGGCCAAGCUGCUGUCCCACCACCGGGCUCCAGGUGUCAGCGGUCAAAGUCCCGUGCUGGAUGGCAGGGGGGACCUGACCGUGGGGGGCCCGAGGCCGAGGCCAAAGAACACAGCUUUCUUGUUUCGACAUUUCUUUUCGUUGGGAAAAUAGUUUUGUCUUUGUGCCUCUUUUCCUCUUGACUUUCAUAAACGUGCCGCCCCGCCGGCGGCAGCGGCCUUGGGCGACUGCGCGGGCCUUUCAUGUUGGCCUCCGGAGCCCGUCCCGGAGCGGUACACGGCCAUGCUCUGAGUAGGGACCUCGGGGCAUUUAUCAAGUUUGCUCUGACAGGGCCGAGGAAGCCCUGGGAGACUGGAAACAGAACGUGGUUUUGUACCACACCGAGGGCACAGCCCAAACAGCAGGGCCAGGCUGCAGAGGCGUGGGGUCAGCGUGGACAGCCUUGCUGCGGGUCCCUGACCAGACGUGGCUGUGCCCCGCGGGGGCUGGGCCCUUGCUGGCCGCAGGCAUGUGGCUGCUCGGCCCUGGACCCUCCCCUGGAGCAGGCCUGGAGGCCUGGAGGUGACAGUGGGAGGCGCCCAUCGCCCAGGGGACCCCUGCUCCCCAGGCCCAGGGGCGGUCUGGGUGCAGAGGGUGUGGGUGACAUGGGACAUGUCCUCAGGGUCUGACGGCGCUGCAGAGGGAGGGGCCUGCCCGUCCACCAGCAGCCCCGUGACAACGUGUGCUCUGGGGACUGUCACAGAGGCGGCUGACUGGAGAGGUCUACCCUGCCCCCAUUUUCAGACCCAUCUCCCAGCAGCAGCAGUCGGGCCUCCCCAGCCCAGCCGGGCCCAGCCCAGCCCAGCGCACUGCGGCAGCGCCCUCUAUUGGAAAGCGCCCGACAGGACCACGCCCAGGCCCACAGGCUGGAGCCUGAGACCUCGGGCAGCACAGCCUCCUGCCCUGCUCUGGGCAGAGGAGGGUGUCCUGGUGACUGUGCACCUGGAGCGAAGCGUUUCCCUCCGAGAAUUCAGAACACAACCACCCUCACUGCCCCCAGACGCAAAGAGCCCCCCAGACCCCCUACUUGUCCCCCGAGCACGUCAGGAACAGAGAGAUGGGCAGCUCACUGAGGGCAUGUUGAGGUUCGCUGCCUGUGAGGAUGGAGCAGGGAGACUCAGGCCCGUCCGCAGACUGGCCAUCUGCGCAGCUCCCUAACUCAGCUUGCUUUACAGACGUCCUGAGAAGGACUGCGGUUAGAAGAUAAUGCAUGGGUUAACGGUCAUAUUUUAUUUUUGAGCAAAAAAAAAA
Non-coding RNA from Vicugna pacos (alpaca), 2704 nucleotides. The record is from RefSeq and is a predicted model, not a curated record. Lineage: Eukaryota; Metazoa; Chordata; Mammalia; Artiodactyla; Camelidae.